This 460-nucleotide ribosomal RNA is filed under the name uncultured bacterium. Its description in RNAcentral is "partial 16S ribosomal RNA". It matches the Rfam family "Bacterial small subunit ribosomal RNA", at positions 338 to 795 of the family's 1533-position model. The record is from RNAcentral.
CCUACGGGUGGCAGCAGUGAGGAAUAUUGGUCAAUGGGCGAGAGUCUGAACCAGCCAAGUAGCGUGAAGGAUGACUGCCCUAUGGGUUGUAAACUUCUUUUAUAAAGGAAUAAAACGAGGCACGUGUGCCUUUUUGCAUGUACUUUAUGAAUAAGGAUCGGCUAAUUCCGUGCCAGCAGCCGCGGUAAUACGGAGGAUCCGAGCGUUAUCCGGAUUUAUUGGGUUUAAAGGGAGCGUAGAUGGGUUGUUAAGUCAGUUGUGAAAGGUUGCGGCUCAACCGGAAAAUUGCAAUUGAUACUGGCAGUCUUGAGUACAGUUGAGGUAGGCGGAAUUCGUGGUGUAGCGGUGAAAUGCUUAGAUAUCACGAAGAACCCCGAUUGCGAAGGCAGCUUACUAAACUGUGACUGACAUUGAUGCUCGAAAGUGUGGGUAUCAAACAGGAUUAGAUACCCCUGUAGUC